RNAcentral lists this long non-coding RNA (5879 nucleotides) under Homo sapiens (human). Its description in RNAcentral is "LNC_000467". Lineage: Eukaryota; Metazoa; Chordata; Mammalia; Primates; Hominidae. The record is from RNAcentral.
GUUAUUUGGUACUGUCCAGAAGUGAUGAAAGUAGUAUUCCUUAUCUAUUCUCUACUGCCAUUUAAUUUGGAGAAACACUGAUGAAGGCUUUCUAUAAAUAUUUCCAUUUAUACUUUACAACAUUAAAAAUAUUUUCAAUGAGCUUUUCAGAUGAGUUGAUAAAUGAAACAUUCCAUCUGUGAUGGUUAAUUUUUAGAUGUCUACUUGACUGGAUUAAGGGGUACCCAGAGAUGAUAAAGCAUUGUUUCUGGGUAUAUCUGUGAGGGUAUUUCUGGAAGAGGCUGACAUUUGAAGAUCUGCCCUCAUCCAAUGUGAGUGGGCAACAUCCAUACUGCUGAGGGCCCAGAUAGAACUAAAAAGAAGGAAAAUUGGGUUUGACAGCUUCUGAAAGGCAAGGAUAAAAUAAAAGAAGAUUUUCCUACUGUGACUGGGGAAGUCACAAAUGGUAUGUGAACUCUGGAAUGGAAAUAGCACUACUAUUAAUACAGUCCAGGAAGCGAGAGAGACCCCAGGAAAGGCCUCCUGAGCAUUACUGAACAGAGGCUUAGCAGUAAGUCUCUAGGAGGACCAACAUUUUAAUUUUAACCUUGAAGGAAAAUCAGAGAAGUCACACAGGCUCUAUCUCCUCCCAUUCCCCACUUUUAACUGUGGCAUGAAAUAAACCUGAGGACAGUAGGAAUUAUUUGAUUUGGCUGGCUUGUUUUUGUUUUUAAAUUUUAUAUUAAUUUAUAUGUUUUAAGUACUAUAUAUACUCUGCUGUUGAUCCCAAACUCACUUUUCUUGUAUCGUACUUGGCCCAAUUAUGUUACCUUCCUGGUUCGUGCAGACAUUUCAGAUAGAGACCCUUGGUCUACUAAUGGGGUUAAGUGAAGAAUAAUGCAGACUAGGAGAAAUAAUACCUUGGGACCUGAAUCUGCACAAAUACUGGCAGAACAAAGGUAAAAUCGGGUGAAACUAAUUUGGCCUAUUUAAUAGUUUUGCUGAGGCCUACGCAGAGCUAUCUCUUCUAUCUGCUACAUAAAAUUGUUUCCUGUUCUAUUCACUCAAAUUCCAAAAAAGUCACAAACAAAGAGAAAAAACAAACUGCUGAUUGGCUUCUAAAACCUUCCAGAUGAAAAGGCUGGAAAGUGAUGUGUAUCUAUACUUACACGAUGAAGCCUCAUGUGGAAGAUAUUAAAAAGUGAAAAUGCUAUCUUGGGCCAGACCGUCAUAUCGUAAGCCCAGUUCUCUGCCACUGAUUUCAACAGCUGUAGGGAAGAGAUUUUACCUUUAGAGUAAUAAAAUCUUAGCCUUGGGAGGGAAAUAGAUUUUAUAAAUGGGGAAACCAAGUGAGUAAUUAUUUCCCAGGUCUCACGAAUUGUGGCAAAUGGCAGUAUAAGAACAAAAACCCUGCUUGCCAAACUUCUAGUUGCUCUUUUCACUGUACAAUAGAUGAUGGAAACAUAAUAGUUUGGCUCAAUUAAUUCCAAUUCUUGGUCUAUAUGAGCUAUAGUUACCAGGAGUUCUUACUUGAUUUCUUCCUGAGAGAAGUUUCUAGACUUUGGAAUUCUGGGCAGAUGUAUGUACAUAUAAUAAAGAUUUAACUUUAACUAACACUUAGGUUCACAGGAAAAGUGAAAUGGAAAUUUCACCUUGUCAUUUGAGCAAUUUAGGGAAAAAUGAAAAUAAUCUGCUACUGAAGGGAAACAAAAGGGUAUUCAAAAUUGAUUAUUGAUGUUGAUUCAACCUAUUUGGUCUUUGCCUAAUUCCUCUUUUUUCUUUAUAUAAAUGGAGACAAGAGUGAUAAAAAUAAGUCAGGGGCAGCUAGUUCAAACUAUAUGACUCGAUUUAGAUGUUUGGUUUCUCAGUAGAAAGCUCGAGAAUAAACAAAUCCGUUCUCUAAGUUUCUCUUUUAGUGGUAUCCAAUUCAGUUUGCACACUUCCAGAACCAGUUACAUCACAGCACAAAGCAUGGAAAGCUUGGAUUAUCUUUAGAGCAUUCACCAAUUUGUUCUUAGGUUCAUUUGAUCUUUAAACAAAUAAUUGUUCAUGUCAAUGGAAUGUUUAUGAAUAAAGAUAAAUAAGAUGAAAAUGUUGCUAUUAAGAAGCCUAUGGCUUACUGAUGGGGCUAAAAUAAGCAUAGGAAUUUCUAUCAUUCCAAGUAGUCCGUAGCAAUGGAAGAUAUCAGUUAUAAAUAGGAUUGGGGGAAUCAGAUAAAUCUUAGAAGGGGAGAUUGAUUUGGUCUUGGAUUUUGAAAGACCAGUAAGAUUUCUACAGGGCUUAAAUCACACAGGUCUCUCAACUUAGAAUGGCUACCCUACAUCUUAUUAAAAUGUUGUUAAUAAUUACUUGAACAAGUACUAUUUGAACGCCUAUGAUAUUCUAUGAAAAAUUCUAUUAAUCCUUUACAGCUCAGUUAAUACUACCAUCUCACCUCAGCUUUAUAUGAGCAUCUCAGCAAAGAUUCCUUCCUUCUUUGUGUUUCUGGUCUACUUAAUUCAUGCUGAGUACUUUGCAUAAACCGCAUACAUAGAACUGUGUAUAUUUAUGUGUAUAUUCAUUUUCUCUAUUUGACUUAUAAGCACUUUGAAGAUGGAAAUGGCUUUGUAUGUUAUUUUAAUUUUGCCCAGCACUUAGUACAGAAUAGGAGUUUCAAAGACUUGAUUGAAUAAAAUGAACCAAGUAAUUAUCAAAUCUUCAUUUUUUGUAUGUGUGGGGAAAUUAUCUGUCUCUGUGUCAGUCAUUUGUGUCUUCUUCAUGACAAAUAAUACCACCAUGGUCAACCUACCACAAGCCAUGUUUCAGAUAGUUGAAAAUCAAAUGAUCAGUUAGACAGAGCUUGAAUUUACCUAUUGUCUGUAAUGUGUCCUGGGUACAACUUAGUUUAUUCUAAUACCUAGAAAGAGUUUGAACUUUCAUGUAAAACUAUUUUGUAAAGACAAUGAAAUGUAAUCUUUGUGGAAAAUUACAUAAAGAUAUAUAACUUUGAAUUCAUAGAGCUUCAGUUUUUUUGUCACAGUAUAUGCAUGUUAGCUCUUAAGAGCUUCUAAACUCAGAAAGCUUUGGAGAUUAAACACUGAAAGAUUUUGUGCAGAAGAAUGCUCAGGGGCUGAAAAAAUAAAGCACCUCAUCAUUUUUUACAUGUACCCAUCAGCUAAAGCCUUUCCUGUUGCCGUAUAAAAAUUACUGAGGUAAAUAGUCUGGCUUCCACUUUGUUCCCCAAUCUGCCAGCGGGGUUUAAACUCAGACUCUGAAGGAUGUAUGUGACAUACACUAUUUUAGUCUGUUGGAAUUGACUCUACCAACAUAUCUACCAUGAAAAUAAGAUAGCUUUAGUGACUAAGUCAGCUUUAUUGUCUCAGAGGCCAUUCAGGUACCAUUAAGCAUUCUGAAUAAUAAAGGCUAACAAAACUCAGAGUAUAUGCUGUCAUACUUAAGAAUCUUAAGAGGUAGUUACUUUUAGUAUCAAACAAAUGAGAAAAUUAAAGCUCAGAAUGUUUCUGUAAGUUGCCCAAGGUCAUGUAGUUGGUGAAUGGUGAAGCAAUUAUUUGAACUCAGGCAGUCUAACUCUAUGCCCACUAUAUUAAUCUCUAAGUUAUUUUGCCUGGUGGAAUUCCACCUCCAAAUUUUACAUGACACAUUAAGAAUACACCCAGUUUCCUCUGAUAAAAUAAACUAACCUUAGAAAUAGAUUCCAUCCUAGGUUAUAGAUUUUACUACAAGUUUGUUUUUGAACCUGCAUGAAAUAGAUCCUGGUAUAAUUGAGUGUUACAUAAAUAUCCCCUGAAUGAAAGUAUAAAUAAAUAGCAUACCCCUGUAGGGUUCCCUUCUUUGUUCAACUCUUCAUUGAAAUUUUCAUUAACUCCUCAGUUUGAUUCAGGGUAGUAUAUAGUCAGUGGAAUUUAAGUGAAUACUCCCCUCUUCUACUCAAAAGCUGACUGGGAAAGAAAAGCAUUUGGAUGUGAGUAUUAGCAGAGUAUUUCCCAUGCACUCUAUUACAUUUGUAAAAUUGCUAUUAAUUUUCCUCAAUCCACUGCCAUUUUAAGAGCUGCUGGGCUGUGAUUAUGUAGCAAUUUACUUGCUAACUUUGCCUUUUCCAUCAACAAUGUAGAUGCAUAAUUAAACUAUGUGCUCUGGGGAAAAGACACUUUUAAGUACAGAGGUAAAAGUAAGAUUUUUCUCAGAAAAGAGUACAAAAACCAAUUUAAAUACUAAGUUAAUGUCAGUAUAUUAAUAUCAGUAUGUACUUUGGCAAGAGUAUAUUUGAAUAAUUUGUCUCCAUGGUGCUUUUUAAUUUAUUGACAGCGUGUUGUUGAAGUCUAAUUGAUAAGGUUCUGAGCCAUGAGAUCUUAAUAUAUUACAUAAAAUAACUUAAAAAAUCAAUAAUCAUUUAAUUAUUUAGAUGUAGUGGUUAUAAAAGUGACAAAAAUCUCUCAUGACGAUUUGGAAGGAUGAUAUAUUACACACUGUAACAUAAUUUUUAGGUUUUUAAAGCUGUAGAUAAGACACAAUCAUUCUUAAUUUGCAGCAGGCACAGGAUGAGCAGAUGCAAAUUAAUCUGAAUUCCCUGGACGUCAUUUUGACACUAGUUUCUUUGUCAUUUCCCAUUCAUAAAUACAUGCAUCCUAUUACAUUUAUUUACAUUUAACUGCAGACUAGUAGAAAACCUAUUUAACAAAUAUGAUGCUAAGCUCUGACUGAUUAUUUGGCAGCAUAUAUCUCACAAGACAAACCCGCUAUUAGCUGUAAAUGUGAGGCACAGAGAGACCAAACACAUGCAAGAUGCCAUCCAUGACUCUUUUUCUAUGGCUUGGUUAUGUCACACAGAUCAUAGGCUGGAGGGAAGAUUUUCCCAUUUUCUUUCCCCUACCACUUUUUACACUGGCAACAUGGGUCAAUAUUGCUUUUCUUUGUAAGCCAAUUUACACUUUGAAAUGAAGUGAGCAUUCAGUAGGAAAAGAAGGUGAAAGUAUUCUGCUUUGUAGCAUCUGCCAGGACUAAUUUUUAAAUUUAUUUUGGCUGCUAUAACAAAGCUAUAGACUGGGUGGCUUAUAAACAACAUAAUUUUAUUUCUCACAGUUCUGGAGGCUUGGAAGUCCAAGAUCAAGAGGUGAACAGAUUUGGUGUCUGGUGGGGGCCUGCUUCCUGAUUCAUAGAUGGCACCAUCCAGCUGUGCCCUCACAUGGUGGAAGGAAUGAGGCUGCUCUCUGGAAUCUCUUUUAUAAGAUACUACCUGAGACUGCGUAAUUUAUAAACAACAACAAAAAAAUUGACUCACAGUUCCAUACCUCAGGAGACCUCAGGAAACUUACAAUCAUGGCAGAAGGUGAAGGAGAAGCAAGGUAUGUCCUAUAUGGCGGCGGGAGAGAGUGAGUGAAAGAGUGAGUGAAAUAGUGAGGAAAUGCCACACUUAAAACCAUCAGCUCUUGUGAGAACUCCCUCACUAUCACAAGGACAGCAUGGGGAAAACUGCCCCCAUGAACCAAUCACCUCCCAGCAGGUGCCUGUCUUGAUAUGUGGGGAUUAAAAUUCCAGAUGAGAUUUGGCUGGGGACACAGAGCCAAAUAAUAACAACUUCUCUUCAUAUCUUUAUUUCCACUGGGUAUGGUCAAAUAAUUAGUCAAAAUAAUGACAUUUAUUUGAAUGAGCUGUGCCAAUAUUCUUCUGUGUUGACCAUCACUUUACCAAUUACUCAUGGGAGUAUACAUACUCUAAAUCCCCUCUUUGCCUUGGGAAUUAUAACCUUGACUGCAGUCACUUGUGGAUCUUCCACUGAAAACCAGAAUAAUAGGGUUUGCAGAGUUCAUGCCUCUGAUGGUAUGAGCUAUAUGCAAUAUUUCAUACAGUUAAUCCAGCAAAUUACAUGCAUUGUAUAAUGUGGUUCUAAUGUCAACUUUCCA